RNAcentral lists this ribosomal RNA (466 nucleotides) under uncultured bacterium. RNAcentral describes it as "bacterial SSU rRNA". It matches the Rfam family "Bacterial small subunit ribosomal RNA", at positions 33 to 507 of the family's 1533-position model. The record is from RNAcentral.
UGGACGACGCUGGCGGCGUGCUUAAAACAUGCAAGUCGAACGGACUUCUCAUGAAGCUUGCGAUUGAGAAGUUAGUGGCGGACGGGUGAGUAGCGCGUGGGCAACCUGCCCCUGAGCCCGGGAUAACAGUUCGAAAGGACUGCUAAGACCGGAUAUACUUGCGGGGAAGCAUUUCACUGCAAGGAAAGGGAACGCUCAGGGAUGGGCCCGCGUCCCAUUAGCUAGUUGGUGAGGUAACGGCCCACCAAGGCGACGAUGGGUAGCCGGCCUGAGAGGGUGAACGGCCACACUGGGACUGAGACACGGCCCAGACUCCUACGGGAGGCAGCAGUUGGGAAUCUUCGGCAAUGGGCGCAAGCCUGACCGAGCAACGCCGCGUGAGUGAUGAAGGUUUUCGGAUUGUAAAGCUCUGUCUUCCGGGACGAUAAUGACGGUACCGGAGGAGGAAGCCACGGCUAACUACGUG